CAGUAGCCACGGGAAUACGGAGGGUGCAAGCGUUAUCCGGAUUUAUUGGGUUUAAAGGGUCCGUAGGCGGAUCUGUAAGUCAGUGGUGAAAUCUCACAGCUUAACUGUGAAACUGCCAUUGAUACUGCAGGUCUUGAGUAAAUUUGAAGUGGCUGGAAUAAGUAGUGUAGCGGUGAAAUGCAUAGAUAUUACUUAGAACACCAAUUGCGAAGGCAGGUCACUAAGAUUUAACUGACGCUGAUGGACGAAAGCGUGGGGAGCGAACAGGAUUAGAUACCCCUGUAGUCCCUGUCUCUUAUAA
This 301-nucleotide ribosomal RNA is filed under the name uncultured bacterium. RNAcentral's name for it is "partial 16S ribosomal RNA". It matches the Rfam family "Bacterial small subunit ribosomal RNA", at positions 509 to 809 of the family's 1533-position model. The record is from RNAcentral.